GACGUAGGGCGCGAGCGUUGUCCGGAAUUAUUGGGCGUAAAGAGCUCGUAGGCGGUGUGUCGCGUCGGCCGUGAAAACCUGCAGCUUAACUGUGGGCGUGCGGUCGAUACGGGCAUCACUGGAGUUCGGCAGGGGAGACUGGAAUUCCUGGUGUAGCGGUGAAAUGCGCAGAUAUCAGGAGGAACACCAAUGGCGAAGGCAGAUCUCUGGGCCGUAACUGACGCUGAGGAGCGAAAGCGUGGGGAGCGAACAGG
Molecule: ribosomal RNA, 254 nt
Filed under: uncultured bacterium
Lineage: Bacteria
Description: partial 16S ribosomal RNA
Rfam family: Bacterial small subunit ribosomal RNA
Source: RNAcentral